This 253-nucleotide ribosomal RNA is filed under the name uncultured bacterium. RNAcentral's name for it is "partial 16S ribosomal RNA". It matches the Rfam family "Bacterial small subunit ribosomal RNA", at positions 524 to 776 of the family's 1533-position model. The record is from RNAcentral.
UACAGAGGGGGCAAGCGUUGUUCGGAAUUACUGGGCGUAAAGGGCGCGUAGGCGGCGCGGUAAGUCGGGUGUGAAAUCUCGGAGCUUAACUCCGAAACUGCAUUCGAUACUGCGGUGCUUGAGGACUGGAGAGGAGACUGGAAUUCAUGGUGUAGCAGUGAAAUGCGUAGAGAUCAUGAGGAAGACCAGUGGCGAAGGCGGGUCUCUGGACAGUUCCUGACACUGAGACACGAAGGCCAGGGGAGCAAACGGG